This 294-nucleotide long non-coding RNA is filed under the name Elaeis guineensis (African oil palm). RNAcentral's name for it is "long non-coding RNA (EGUI_LNC073053)". Lineage: Eukaryota; Viridiplantae; Streptophyta; Magnoliopsida; Arecales; Arecaceae. The record is from RNAcentral.
CACGGUGACUUGCAAGCAACUCACUGUACUUAGGCACUGGACUACCUGAAUUUUUAAUUCAGUGACGGAAGGAUACUGGGUGUAGUCAAGUACUUGACUUGUCGGUGCGUGUGUCAAGAUAGGAUUGACCACUCCAGUUCUAAAGCUGUGUACAGUCGUGUUUCAAUUUAGGAAAAUCUUGGCCAGGGUAGUCCUAUUGAGGAGUCACAGGACUGUUUGAGUUGAGCACGAUUCGGAUGAUCUAAUCAGGGUUGACAGUUUAACCCUGAGUCAUCCUAAACACAGGGGUCAAAA